CGGGGGGAGCAAGCGUUGUUCGGAUUUACUGGGCGUAAAGGGCGCGUAGGCGGCGCAACAAGUCACUUGUGAAAUCUCCGGGCUUAACCCGGAGCGGCCAAGUGAUACUGUCGUGCUAGAGUGCGGAAGGGGCUACUGGAAUUCUCGGUGUAGCGGUGAAAUGCGUAGAUAUCGGGAGGAACACCUGCGGCGAAGGCGGGUAGCUGGGCCGACACUGACGCUGAUGCGCGAAAGCCAGGGGAGCGAACGGGAUUAGAUACCCCGGUAGUCCUGGCCUUAAACGAUGGAUACUUGGUGUCCGGGGUUACGUAGUCCCCGGGUGCCGGCGCUAACGCAUUAAGUAUCCCGCCUGGGGAGUACGGUCGCAAGACUG
RNAcentral lists this ribosomal RNA (373 nucleotides) under uncultured organism. Its description in RNAcentral is "bacterial SSU rRNA". It matches the Rfam family "Bacterial small subunit ribosomal RNA", at positions 526 to 896 of the family's 1533-position model. The record is from RNAcentral.